This 383-nucleotide unclassified non-coding RNA is filed under the name Hevea brasiliensis (rubber tree). The record is from RNAcentral. Lineage: Eukaryota; Viridiplantae; Streptophyta; Magnoliopsida; Malpighiales; Euphorbiaceae.
AGAACACCUUCAUCUCUAUCAUCAUGGCUAUGCAUAGGGCCAAGACGUCGUUCUGUGGGUCCAUCAGCACACUCUAAAGUGGAUGAUUUGCCAGAAGCUUUUGUAGUAUCUGAAAGUUCUGAUACUAUUGUGGCUGAAGUGCAAACUAAAGAGACAGCGCAGAGCAAACUAGAAUGUAAUUCAAGCAGUGAAACAGGGCAUGAUGAUACUGAGGAAGACGAGCCUCUUAUUUCUGAUGAUAGAGUCAUGAAUUCUUCUGCCAUUGAAGAUGUUACUUGAAGAUGUUACUGAAGGUGAACUGUGGUAUGAACUGGAGAAGGAGCUUCAGAGGCAAGAGAAUGAAGUUGAUAUUGAGGCCCAGGCAGAAGAAGCUGCUGCAGCGA